RNAcentral lists this ribosomal RNA (497 nucleotides) under uncultured bacterium. RNAcentral describes it as "partial 16S ribosomal RNA". It matches the Rfam family "Bacterial small subunit ribosomal RNA", at positions 28 to 507 of the family's 1533-position model. The record is from RNAcentral.
GAUGAACGCUGGCGGCGUGCCUAAUACAUGCAAGUCGAGCGAACAGAUGAGGAGCUUGCUCCUCUGACGUUAGCGGCGGACGGGUGAGUAACACGUGGAUAACCUACCUAUAAGACUGGGAUAACUGCGGGAAACCGGAUCUAAUACCGGAUAAUAUAUUUAACCGCAUGGUUCAAUAGUGAAAGACGGUUUUGCUGUCACUUAUAGAUGGUUCCGCGCCGCAUUAGCUAGUUGGUAAGGUAACGGCUUACCAAGGCAACGAUGCGUAGCCGACCUGAGAGGGUGAUCGGCCACCCUGGAACUGAGACACGGUCCAGACUCCUACGGGAGGCAGCAGUAGGGAAUCUUCCGCAAUGGGCGAAAGCCUGACGGAGCAACGCCACGUGAGUGAUGAAGGUCUUCGGAUCGUAAAACUCUGUUAUUAGGGAAGAACAAAUGUGUAAGUAACUAUGCACGUCUUGACGGUACCUAAUCAGAAAGCCACGGCUAACUACGUG